RNAcentral lists this ribosomal RNA (233 nucleotides) under uncultured bacterium. RNAcentral describes it as "partial 16S ribosomal RNA". It matches the Rfam family "Archaeal small subunit ribosomal RNA", at positions 745 to 979 of the family's 1478-position model. The record is from RNAcentral.
UCCUGGCCGUAAACUAUGCGUGCUAAGUGUUGGUAUGGCUAUGAGCCAUAUCAGUGCCGUAAGGAAACCGUUAAGCGCGCCGCCUGGGGAGUACGAUCGCAAGACUGAAACUUAAAGGAAUUGGCGGGGGAGCACCACAAGGGGUGAAGCCUGCGGUUCAAUUGGACAACGCCGGAAACCUUACCGGGGGCGCCAGCAGAAUGAAGGUCAGGCUGACGACCUUACCAGACAGG